UUAAGCGACUAAGCGUACACGGUGGAUGCCCUGGCAGUCAGAGGCGAUGAAGGGCGUGCUAAUCUGCGAUAAGCGCCGGUAAGGUGAUAUGAACCGUUAUAACCGGCGAUACCCGAAUGGGGAAACCCAGUGUGAUUCGUCACACUAUCAUUAACUGAAUCCAUAGGUUAAUGAGGCGAACCGGGGGAACUGAAACAUCUAAGUACCCCGAGGAAAAGAAAUCAACCGAGAUUCCCCCAGUAGCGGCGAGCGAACGGGGAGGAGCCCAGAGCCUGAAUCAGCAUGUGUGUUAGUGGAAGCGUCUGGAAAGGCGCGCGAUACAGGGUGACAGCCCCGUACACAAAAGCGCAUGUGCUGUGAGCUCGAUGAGUAGGGCGGGACACGUGGUAUCCUGUCUGAAUAUGGGGGGACCAUCCUCCAAGGCUAAAUACUCCUGACUGACCGAUAGUGAACCAGUACCGUGAGGGAAAGGCGAAAAGAACCCCGGCGAGGGGAGUGAAAAAGAACCUGAAACCGUGUACGUACAAGCAGUGGGAGCCCCACCACUAAGCCAGUGGUGAACUCCACAUACGCAUCCUUUGCUGAAGGCAAUGGUUGGCGGAGCGUAAGCGACGCCCAACACAAAAAACAAGCAGAGGGGCUUAGUGGUGGGGUGACUGCGUACCUUUUGUAUAAUGGGUCAGCGACUUAUAUUCUGUAGCAAGGUUAACCGUAUAGGGGAGCCGCAGGGAAACCGAGUCUUAACCGGGCGUUAAGUUGCAGGGUAUAGACCCGAAACCCGGUGAUCUAGCCAUGGGCAGGUUGAAGGUUGGGUAACACUAACUGGAGGACCGAACCGACUAAUGUUGAAAAAUUAGCGGAUGACCUGUGGCUGGGGGUGAAAGGCCAAUCAAACCGGGAGAUAGCUGGUUCUCCCCCGAAAGCUAUUUAGGUAGCGCCUCGUGAAUUCAUCUCCGGGGGUAGAGCACUGUUUCGGCUAGGGGGCCAUCCCGGCUUACCAACCCGAUGCAAACUGCGAAUACCGGAGAAUGUUACCACGGGAGACACACGGCGGGUGCUAACGUCCGUCGUGAAGAGGGAAACAACCCAGACCGCCAGCUAAGGUCCCAAAGUCAUGGUUAAGUGGGAAACGAUGUGGGAAGGCCCAGACAGCCAGGAUGUUGGCUUAGAAGCAGCCAUCAUUUAAAGAAAGCGUAAUAGCUCACUGGUCGAGUCGGCCUGCGCGGAAGAUGUAACGGGGCUAAACCAUGCACCGAAGCUGCGGCAGCGAACGUAUCACCCCAAGACAACUUUACGGAGUUGACGAUUGACGGAGCGAAGCGACGUCAAAGCGUUCAUUAAAGUCGAGUUGGCUUAGGGAUACGUUCGUUGGGUAGGGGAGCGUUCUGUAAGCCUGUGAAGGUGGCCUGUGAGGGUUGCUGGAGGUAUCAGAAGUGCGAAUGCUGACAUAAGUAACGAUAAAGCGGGUGAAAAGCCCGCUCGCCGGAAGACCAAGGGUUCCUGUCCAACGUUAAUCGGGGCAGGGUGAGUCGACCCCUAAGGCGAGGCCGAAAGGCGUAGUCGAUGGGAAACGGGUUAAUAUUCCCGUACUUGGUGUUACUGCGAAGGGGGGACGGAGAAGGCUAUGUUGGCCGGGCGACGGUUGUCCCGGUUUAAGCGUGUAGGUGUGUGUUCCAGGUAAAUCCGGUUCACUUUAACACUGAGGCGUGACGACGAGGCACUACGGUGCUGAAGCAACAAAUGCCCUGCUUCCAGGAAAAGCCUCUAAGCAUCAGGUAACAUCAAAUCGUACCCCAAACCGACACAGGUGGUCUGGUAGAGAAUACCAAGGCGCUUGAGAGAACUCGGGUGAAGGAACUAGGCAAAAUGGUGCCGUAACUUCGGGAGAAGGCACGCUGACAUGUAGGUGAAGUGAUUUACUCAUGGAGCUGAAGUCAGUCGAAGAUACCAGCUGGCUGCAACUGUUUAUUAAAAACACAGCACUGUGCAAACACGAAAGUGGACGUAUACGGUGUGACGCCUGCCCGGUGCCGGAAGGUUAAUUGAUGGGGUCAGCGCAAGCGAAGCUCCUGAUCGAAGCCCCGGUAAACGGCGGCCGUAACUAUAACGGUCCUAAGGUAGCGAAAUUCCUUGUCGGGUAAGUUCCGACCUGCACGAAUGGCGUAAUGAUGGCCAGGCUGUCUCCACCCGAGACUCAGUGAAAUUGAACUCGCUGUGAAGAUGCAGUGUACCCGCGGCAAGACGGAAAGACCCCGUGAACCUUUACUAUAGCUUGACACUGAACAUUGAGCCUUGAUGUGUAGGAUAGGUGGGAGGCUUUGAAGUGUGGACGCCAGUCUGCAUGGAGCCGACCUUGAAAUACCACCCUUUAAUGUUUGAUGUUCUAACGUGGACCCGUAAUCCGGGUUGCGGACAGUGUCUGGUGGGUAGUUUGACUGGGGCGGUCUCCUCCUAAAGAGUAACGGAGGAGCACGAAGGUUGGCUAAUCCUGGUCGGACAUCAGGAGGUUAGUGCAAUGGCAUAAGCCAGCUUGACUGCGAGCGUGACGGCGCGAGCAGGUGCGAAAGCAGGUCAUAGUGAUCCGGUGGUUCUGAAUGGAAGGGCCAUCGCUCAACGGAUAAAAGGUACUCCGGGGAUAACAGGCUGAUACCGCCCAAGAGUUCAUAUCGACGGCGGUGUUUGGCACCUCGAUGUCGGCUCAUCACAUCCUGGGGCUGAAGUAGGUCCCAAGGGUAUGGCUGUUCGCCAUUUAAAGUGGUACGCGAGCUGGGUUUAGAACGUCGUGAGACAGUUCGGUCCCUAUCUGCCGUGGGCGCUGGAGAACUGAGGGGGGCUGCUCCUAGUACGAGAGGACCGGAGUGGACGCAUCACUGGUGUUCGGGUUGUCAUGCCAAUGGCACUGCCCGGUAGCUAAAUGCGGAAGAGAUAAGUGCUGAAAGCAUCUAAGCACGAAACUUGCCCCGAGAUGAGUUCUCCCUGAGACUUAGAGUCUCCUGAAGGAACGUUGAAGACGACGACGUUGAUAGGCCGGGUGUGUAAGCGCAGCGAUGCGUUGAGCUAACCGGUACUAAUGAACCGUGAGGCUUAACCUU
Molecule: ribosomal RNA, 3092 nt
Filed under: Salmonella enterica subsp. enterica
Lineage: Bacteria; Pseudomonadati; Pseudomonadota; Gammaproteobacteria; Enterobacterales; Enterobacteriaceae
Description: 23S ribosomal RNA
Rfam family: Bacterial large subunit ribosomal RNA
Source: RNAcentral